GCAGGGACAGAAAAGAUAUAGGUGUGAGUGUACAGGAAGUGGUUCUCUCUGGAGGCUGAAGGUUGGUGAGGGACAAGACUUCCUUCAGAAGUGCUAUGAUCUUGGACAUCCGUUGUACCUAACCUGAAGCACUAAUGAGGUAAGUGGACUCUGAAGGAGUGGGGGACGUCUCCCCUGCACUGACACCAAAGCCCCUCUCCCCACUGGAGGCUUGCUUUUUAAAUGUUUAACAGAUCCCUCAGCGUCUCCACCUCUGCUGGAUUGGACUAUGUGACUAGCUAUGAAUAUCCUGCAAAUACAUUAUACAGCUACCACAUUAGCUAAUGCUUAGGCUGCAGGGGUCGGCAGGGCACGACAACUGACCUCAUCAAUGAAUCCUUCCUGUGUUCUGCAAAUUGUCUACUAUUUCUCAAUAAGAUUUCCAUAUUUGAAGAAAGCUUUGAAACCUGCUCUAUCUGUAGCUCUUAUCCUCCCUGAGAUUCUGCUGGUCCUGCAGACUAGCAGCUUUGGAACCUUUUCUGGCACCAUGAUGAAAUCUCUGCACCUGAGCAGCUGAGCAUCCAGAAAUGAUACUGUACGGAAGCACUGGGUGAUUUGGACGACUGCAAGGCCCUGCUAUGUGAUGGCUUCCCAGAAUCCGGGCGCUUGGUUCAUGUGCUUGGGAGCCAAUUCAAAUGGAUGACUUGUCGUAGAAUUUGAGCCAUGCUGACUUAUAAGAAGAAUGAAAAUAAAAAGAAGGAAAUAAUUAGUCAAAAUGCACGUGUAUUGACCUACUGUUUCAGCCAUUGACUUACCAGUUCAUGUGAGGGCAGGUGGUGCUGAAGUCUUCACUACAGCUGGGAGACAAUCUGAGAAUCCUAUUCGGAAGUAUCCAAAGGAAGACAGACUUCUGUCUAGUUUCCUGUUACUAAUUCAUUUUGUGACUUUGUAGGACUUAAGGUCACUCACUACCCAGGUAGAAAAAGCCCACCUGGAUGGUGUCUUCAUGUCCACACUAAGGAUUCCUGACCUUGAGUACAGAUCAGGAACUUGGGCAGUGUAGUGCUUGAAUGAACUCUUGGGAGAGGGCCUCUGCUUACUGAUGAGGCUUCUUCCUUACAUGGCUACUCUGUUCAGCUCUAUAUUUCAAGAGCUGCCUAUAGAGGCAGAAGAUGCUCACACUCCACUUUCUAGUGCCCAAAGGACCACACUGGAAUUAUGAGAGCAUUAAUUCUUGCCUGGCCUGCUAUUUUCCUAUAACCUAAAUUUGUUUCCUAGGGGGAAAAUUAACACGUGUACACACACACACACACACACACACACACACACACACACACACACACACACACAUUUCCAACAACAUCCUAAGUACACCAUUUCUUUUACUUAGAACAAUCAAAUAAUGAGAAAAUGCUACAAAACUGUUAAAGAAAUAAGAAACAAUAAAAAUACAAACACAACCAAGGCAUUAUGUCCUAGCCCGAAGUUUCCAAUGACGUCUUCAUCCCCUAGUACUUUCCCAUUUUCCAAUCUCAGAUCACGGCAUGUGACAUUAGAUGGUCACAUAAGGUGUCAUAAAUUGACUGAGAAAUGUGUGUCAAAUAGAACACUCUUCAACUACCACUGGGAGUUGAGAACUUUGGGGAGAAAAGCCUUUGCUUAAAGAUAACCAAAUAAGACCAGAGAAGGCAUGUGGUGCAGUCAAUCCUUAAAUUUGAAGAGAAACAGCAAGAAGCUUUUUAUUAUGCCUGUUCACUUUGAAACCCCUGGAGGGAGAUUAGCGACAAAGUAAAUACGCAUCAAAAAAAUCUUUACUAUCCAGUAUGCCACUGUUACAGGGACAAGUUCUUGAAGUUUUCCUGUGAUAUAGAGUAGCUAUGAAGGUGCCUCUGGUUAGCAUCAGGUAGCUUGUGGCAUAAAAAGCCAAACAGCACUUAUUUGCUGCCGGCCUGAAACAAAGGAGCAUCUAUCUGUCAGAGGAACACAUGCUUGAUGAGUAGACUGUUGACUUCAUACUGCUGAAGGCCUCCAGCUUCAUCUAUUUAUAAAAGAGAGGCUAUUUUCAAGCAAGGCAUACGUGCACUAGCCGCGAGGAAGCAGGGUAGAGAUGGAAAGAUAAUCUCUCUGAACAUCUGUCAUGAUCGCACUUAAAAACCUUCCGACAAAGGCAAAUGUCUGUUGGAUACUUCAGACUGUCAAACUAUGGUUAUGUGGGUGAGUGCUUGUGGUGAUGCUCUGUGUUUCUAUUUUUAUAAAAUUCUAUCACUAUAGACUCAGGCAAUCAGGGAAUCAUAACCAAAACAGCCAACAGGUCCAGAGAAAAGAUGCACUUGACCCUUGAAGUCAGAGAAUGAGACACUCCUUGAUGUUCACUCCUUUUCUUUUCCAGAAAGAAUCAGGCAGGGAGGCAAGCAUCAAAGAAGCUGCCAAUUGACUCUGCCUUGCUCAAUUGAUGGAGCCGCAGGCCACCAUCACUCUGAAUCUUGUCAAGAAAGAUGGCAGUGGAAGAGCAGAGUUCCCCAACAAAGAAGAGAACACAGUUCUCCCACCGAGCCUGUGCAUGUGGUGAUAACUCAGUUCCAGCUUGCUUCCUCCGGGCUUGCCUGCCUACUGCACAGCAAGAGAGUGCUGUAAUUUGUUUAAAUGUGCAAUGACCUUAUUCUAUUGGUACUGGCAUGUGAGAGUAUGUUCUUUUGGAAGAUUUCAUUGUAAGGAUGGGGGUGUGGUGCAGCACAGUCUCAAUUUGUCCUCUUCGUUCCUUAUCCGGGGCAAAGCCACAUGCCACCUCAUCCUUCUCCAGAAAGAGUAUUGUGUCUGUGUUGCAGAUGGCAGUUUCAAGCCAUCUAUUUAUGGAGGAACUUUGAAGCAUGAGGCUAUAAGAAAUGAAAUAUUUCAAUGUGAUUUGUUCUCUUUUAGACACAAAAGCCAAGCAAUGAGAUUUUCUUUCUGUGAAUGUUUAUCAUCCAGGUUUUUCACAGAAACAAAUGUCUCUAAAUAGCAAAAUAAUUUCCCAGAACCAGCACCCCACAGGUAUUAAACUGGAACAACACUAAGGUCCUUGCCUGGACACAGUCACCCUGGUCACAGUGCAUUUUAAGUGGCUAUAACCUCCACACAGGCAUCCUUUAGGAGAACAUGAAAGCCUGCUAGGAUUCUAGAGUCAGUGUGACAGGAUUUGUGCAAGAAGAACAUCAUAGAAGCAAUUGUUAACAAACCCAGUUUAGAAGAGUUUCCUCUAUUGUGCUGUUUUUAUUUUUCCAUCACAUUAUGCUUUAGCUUAUGAUUUGUUAGUAAUAUUAAAAUUGAGUUUUCCUUGUC
This is a long non-coding RNA of Peromyscus maniculatus bairdii (prairie deer mouse), 3297 nucleotides long. RefSeq lists it as uncharacterized. The record is from RefSeq and is a predicted model, not a curated record. Lineage: Eukaryota; Metazoa; Chordata; Mammalia; Rodentia; Cricetidae.